This 499-nucleotide ribosomal RNA is filed under the name Fusarium sp. R30. RNAcentral's name for it is "eukaryotic LSU rRNA". The stretch from base 132 to 285 matches the Rfam family "5.8S ribosomal RNA". Lineage: Eukaryota; Fungi; Ascomycota; Sordariomycetes; Hypocreales; Nectriaceae. The record is from RNAcentral.
CAACCCCUGUGAACAUACCAAUUGUUGCCUCGGCGGAUCAGCCCGCUCCCGGUAAAACGGGACGGCCCGCCAGAGGACCCCUAAACUCUGUUUCUAUAUGUAACUUCUGAGUAAAACCAUAAAUAAAUCAAAACUUUCAACAACGGAUCUCUUGGUUCUGGCAUCGAUGAAGAACGCAGCAAAAUGCGAUAAGUAAUGUGAAUUGCAGAAUUCAGUGAAUCAUCGAAUCUUUGAACGCACAUUGCGCCCGCCAGUAUUCUGGCGGGCAUGCCUGUUCGAGCGUCAUUUCAACCCUCAAGCCCAGCUUGGUGUUGGGACUCGCGAGUCAAAUCGCGUUCCCCAAAUUGAUUGGCGGUCACGUCGAGCUUCCAUAGCGUAGUAGUAAAACCCUCGUUACUGGUAAUCGUCGCGGCCACGCCGUUAAACCCCAACUUCUGAAUGUUGACCUCGGAUCAGGUAGGAAUACCCGCUGAACUUAAGCAUAUCAAUAAGCGGAGGA